AGAGAAAGAAAGAACAAAAAAAAAAAGAGAAAAGAGUGGAAGGGCAUUCGGCCCUAAGCCAAGAAAAUUGGCUUCAUGGAAAUUGAUCUAGAAAAAAUUAUUUCUCCUAGUAUUUCAACCAAAUGGAAGGUCCUCUUUAACAUGGAGUGGUUGUUGAAGCAAGAAAAUCUCUCCUUGUUGCAAGUUCACAAUCACGGCCAAGUGAGAAAGUAAGGGAAAAAGAUUUUGGGAAGUUCGGAACUUGAAAUUGGAGAAGCGUAAGAAGCGGAAAAGGUACACCCAGAUGAGUAGAAGACAUUGCUAGAAGAUGUUCCAGUGGGAUUGGCGAGCUCCAUUUCCUUCCGAAGUGUUGUCGAGUCUGAGUAUUCGUGAUUAUGGUAUUCUGUCUAUAUUAGAGACUUUGCAGACAGCGUCCUGUGGUACGUUUGUCGAGAUGUCGACAGAGUGAUGUCAGCUGGACCAUCAGUGUAUGUUAAAAGAACAUGUAUUUUAGAUGAUUUCAAUUGGGUUAAAGUACUUAGUUGACUGAAGGUUUUCAUAAUCUGUAUAAAGAUAAUGACAUCUAUUUGGGAAAGUUUCAUGUU
Long non-coding RNA from Lycium barbarum (goji berry), 584 nucleotides. RefSeq lists it as uncharacterized. The record is from RefSeq and is a predicted model, not a curated record. NCBI's taxonomy places the organism in Eukaryota, Viridiplantae, Streptophyta, Magnoliopsida, Solanales, Solanaceae. The transcript is spliced from 3 exons.